This is a long non-coding RNA of Lycium ferocissimum, 1055 nucleotides long. RefSeq lists it as uncharacterized. NCBI's taxonomy places the organism in Eukaryota, Viridiplantae, Streptophyta, Magnoliopsida, Solanales, Solanaceae. The record is from RefSeq and is a predicted model, not a curated record. The transcript is spliced from 3 exons.
CAUGAAUGUGGAAAUAUCGUAAAUGAGCUAAAAUGGCUAUCCGACUCUGAACAUCUGACAUGACAUGUCUGACUAGUCUAGUCUAUGAAACCUCUACAUAAGACUGAACAUGAAAACAUACUCGCUGGGACAAGCCCCCAGCAUACCUUUAAAUGCAUAUCUUAUUAUGAAAAUAAUAAAUAAUAAAUGUCUAAGCCCCGGAAGAGAUGAGGCUUACCAACAAGCUGAUAAGUGCGAAGUCCUACUAGGCAGAUGCGUUGUCCUGUAAAUCAGUACCUGCAUCUUCGACUCGUGGAUGACCUUUCAGUUCCUCUUUCUCUUCCCAUUCCUUUGCAUUCCGAUAGUCAGUCAGCGAUCCACAUAACUAAAAAUCCGGUCUUCCAUGAACGGAUCAAGCAUGUGGAUCUCGACUGUCACUUUGUUAAGCAACAGUUCUUAGCAGGUCUCAUUUUCUUUUUGUAUGUUCCUUCUUCUCUUCAGUUGGCAGAUCUCUUUACUAAACCCCUAUCUGGUUCUUCUCACAUAUCUAUGUUGGGCAAGUUGGGUGUUCGUACCUCCCCUCCAACUUGAGGGGGGAUGUUGGUGAGAAGAAAUCAUCCGAUGAUCGGAAAACUUUAGAUGGUCAAGAACAAGAAAAAGAUGGUAAGAAAAAUGAGUUGAAGGAAAAGCAUUUAGUUUUUGGAUUAAACUAUGUUUGGUGGUUUUGUUCCUUAAAGUUCUUGUUUGAAAAUGUUCAUGGACCGGGUUAUUGGGCUACAACAAAUCUGGUCAACAAUUCAAGACUUGGGCCUAUACCUUUUCGUUCCCAGAAGCCCAUUUGGUGGAAAUAUCCUCAACAUAAACAGUUGUUCAUAGAACAUUCUAGAUUUUUGCAUUUCUGUAUUUUAUUUAUAUAUUUAAUUUUUAUUAGCUGUAGAAUUAGUUAUAUGGACACAAAUAGGAAUAGGACGGCUGUAUAGUUAGUUAUUAGAAAUAUUCUUUUACAUAGCUAUAAAUAGGACAAUGUAUAUUGAUUGAGUAUACACUGAAUAUUACAUCAGGAAAUUUUCUCAAAA